Molecule: long non-coding RNA, 617 nt
Organism: Ixodes scapularis (black-legged tick)
Lineage: Eukaryota; Metazoa; Arthropoda; Arachnida; Ixodida; Ixodidae
Exons: 6
Source: RefSeq, a predicted model, not a curated record
CCCCCGGAUCUGACAGAGACUUGCGCCUCCCUGCCCUGGCCACAAAUCUCUCUGAGGACACUUCGACGUGCGGCCAAGCUGCCACGGCGGGCGCGACACAGCCCCCAGGUCUGACAGAGACUGGCAGUCUCCCUGCCCUGGCCACAGAUGUGGUAAGCUCAUUUUGAGGCUGCCAGCCAUGUGCAGCAAUGGCAAGAGGUGUCGUGUUUAUGAUUACGAUGUGCAUUUUUUUAGUCUGAGGACACUUAACGUGCAGCCACGCUGCCACAGCAGGUGCGACACAGGUAAAGGAAGAUUUAGUGUUUACUUUCAUGACUAUUGAUCACUGCAUGCAGUCGAAAGCGUAGCAGAAGAUGCCACAACAUGUUUUUCUGCAGCCCUCAGGUGCGACAGAGACUGGCAGCCUCCCUGCCCUGGCCACAGAUGUGUCGAAUGACACUUCGACGUGCGACCAAGCUGCCUUGUCAGGUGCGACACAGCUGGCUGAUUCAUCGACCAGUGGCUGCGACCAACCUUACAGACCCUCUGCGAUGCAGAUCACACGAAAAGAUCAAGGCACUCAGUGGGAGCGCUUCCAGGAGGAACAUUCGUACAGUCGACCAGUACCUCCAGCCGGC